This 1555-nucleotide ribosomal RNA is filed under the name Salmonella enterica subsp. enterica serovar Heidelberg str. SARA35. RNAcentral describes it as "bacterial SSU rRNA". It matches the Rfam family "Bacterial small subunit ribosomal RNA". The record is from RNAcentral. Lineage: Bacteria; Pseudomonadati; Pseudomonadota; Gammaproteobacteria; Enterobacterales; Enterobacteriaceae.
UUAAAUUGAAGAGUUUGAUCAUGGCUCAGAUUGAACGCUGGCGGCAGGCCUAACACAUGCAAGUCGAACGGUAACAGGAAGCAGCUUGCUGCUUUGCUGACGAGUGGCGGACGGGUGAGUAAUGUCUGGGAAACUGCCUGAUGGAGGGGGAUAACUACUGGAAACGGUGGCUAAUACCGCAUAACGUCGCAAGACCAAAGAGGGGGACCUUCGGGCCUCUUGCCAUCAGAUGUGCCCAGAUGGGAUUAGCUUGUUGGUGAGGUAACGGCUCACCAAGGCGACGAUCCCUAGCUGGUCUGAGAGGAUGACCAGCCACACUGGAACUGAGACACGGUCCAGACUCCUACGGGAGGCAGCAGUGGGGAAUAUUGCACAAUGGGCGCAAGCCUGAUGCAGCCAUGCCGCGUGUAUGAAGAAGGCCUUCGGGUUGUAAAGUACUUUCAGCGGGGAGGAAGGUGUUGCGGUUAAUAACCGCAGCAAUUGACGUUACCCGCAGAAGAAGCACCGGCUAACUCCGUGCCAGCAGCCGCGGUAAUACGGAGGGUGCAAGCGUUAAUCGGAAUUACUGGGCGUAAAGCGCACGCAGGCGGUCUGUCAAGUCGGAUGUGAAAUCCCCGGGCUCAACCUGGGAACUGCAUUCGAAACUGGCAGGCUUGAGUCUUGUAGAGGGGGUAGAAUUCCAGGUGUAGCGGUGAAAUGCGUAGAGAUCUGGAGGAAUACCGGUGGCGAAGGCGGCCCCCUGGACAAAGACUGACGCUCAGGUGCGAAAGCGUGGGGAGCAAACAGGAUUAGAUACCCUGGUAGUCCACGCCGUAAACGAUGUCUACUUGGAGGUUGUGCCCUUGAGGCGUGGCUUCCGGAGCUAACGCGUUAAGUAGACCGCCUGGGGAGUACGGCCGCAAGGUUAAAACUCAAAUGAAUUGACGGGGGCCCGCACAAGCGGUGGAGCAUGUGGUUUAAUUCGAUGCAACGCGAAGAACCUUACCUGGUCUUGACAUCCACAGAACUUUCCAGAGAUGGAUUGGUGCCUUCGGGAACUGUGAGACAGGUGCUGCAUGGCUGUCGUCAGCUCGUGUUGUGAAAUGUUGGGUUAAGUCCCGCAACGAGCGCAACCCUUAUCCUUUGUUGCCAGCGGUCCGGCCGGGAACUCAAAGGAGACUGCCAGUGAUAAACUGGAGGAAGGUGGGGAUGACGUCAAGUCAUCAUGGCCCUUACGACCAGGGCUACACACGUGCUACAAUGGCGCAUACAAAGAGAAGCGACCUCGCGAGAGCAAGCGGACCUCAUAAAGUGCGUCGUAGUCCGGAUUGGAGUCUGCAACUCGACUCCAUGAAGUCGGAAUCGCUAGUAAUCGUGGAUCAGAAUGCCACGGUGAAUACGUUCCCGGGCCUUGUACACACCGCCCGUCACACCAUGGGAGUGGGUUGCAAAAGAAGUAGGUAGCUUAACCUUCGGGAGGGCGCUUACCACUUUGUGAUUCAUGACUGGGGUGAAGUCGUAACAAGGUAACCGUAGGGGAACCUGCGGUUGGAUCACCUCCUUACCUUAAAGAAGC